Molecule: ribosomal RNA, 119 nt
Organism: Lepisosteus oculatus (spotted gar)
Lineage: Eukaryota; Metazoa; Chordata; Actinopteri; Semionotiformes; Lepisosteidae
Source: Ensembl
GUAUGCAGCCAUAUCACCCUGCAACUCACAACUGGCAACCCACUGAAGCUAAGCAGGUGUGAGCCUGGUCAGUACCUGGAUGGGAGACCUCCUGGGAAAAACUAAGGUUGCUGCUGGAA